RNAcentral lists this long non-coding RNA (337 nucleotides) under Mytilus galloprovincialis (Mediterranean mussel). The record is from RNAcentral. Lineage: Eukaryota; Metazoa; Mollusca; Bivalvia; Mytilida; Mytilidae.
UCCAUUGCAUUUAAUAGAAAAAGAGGACUUUGUGGCAAAUAAAUCAAGAUUUUUAUAGAAAAUCCACAGCCUUUAGCCUAGGGAGCUACCAUUUGAUUUUUAUGGGGGGGCUAGGAUGAAAAAUUUUGUCCUGCAUUUUUUUUUAGCUGUAAUAUCUGUCCUGCCUUUUUAUUUUUCAUUCUGUUCGGUCCUGCCUUUUUAUUUUUUUAGUUUAUCCUGACUUUUUUUUACCUAAAUUGUCGUCCUGACUUUUUUUUUUUUGCAAGUGUCUCAUCCUGUCUUUUUUUUUUACUCAAAACUCCUGUCCUGCCUAUUUUUUUCAAAUUUCAUCCUAGCA